CUAUGAACUGGUGGUUCAUUAGUCUCCUUUUGAUAUGUCAGAACAGUAAGGGACCCUUUUAUUUUUUUCCCCUUUCUAGUAAUGCCUGUGUUCUUAAAUCAAGACAUCUUCCCUCAUCAUGCUGCAGUGGCUGAAUCUUUUUCAGAGCUUUCCUAAGUGGGUUGUAGCAAUAACGCUAAUCGUGUGCAGACAGACCAUAGAGUCAAAAGUGGGAUGCAUAAGGAAGUCAAAACCAAAGGUUUUCAGUGCUCCGGGCAGUGAAUCCUACUUCACAGCUUCAUGUUUAUUUGGAGCUGGAUGCCCCCCACCAGGUUAGCUCUUGUGUUUGUUUUCCCUAGUAGCUUCUUGCCAGCAGGACCAUAGAGCAAGCAUAGCCUUGGGAAGGCGCGAUAAGGGAGGCUCAGAAGUGCAAAUUGCUGGAUUCUAGCACUUCGAGCUGAUGAGCAAUGUGUCCUUUCUUUGGGAAGGGGUGAUGGAAGUAGCAACAAAAGAAGGUUGAGGGAUGCGGGGCUGUGAGAGCAAAGACAAGAGAUUGGGAAGGAGAGGACAAAACUCAGGAAUGUCCUUGUCUUUGUGUUUCUGCAGGGGACAGUGGAAGAGCUCCCUCUUCCUGCUUCAGCCUGCUCUAACCGUUGCAGAAAAAGCCUUCCUUGCAGGCUGGAGUGUCUCAGUGGUCCCCGCAUCCAUGAGGCACUGUAUUUCUUGCAGCAUGGAUUUGCAUACUGAAGGUUCCACAGGACAGUGUGGAUUUGCUCUGUAGGUUCACCAGACCAGCUCUGCUGCAUCACACACUGCCACCAAAGGGUUAGUUCUCAGCGCAUUCGUGGCUGAACCCAACAAACCUGCAACUCGGUGACAGAAAUCAUCUUGAUGGUGGAAGCUGUGCGUUGAUCUUCUCUCCUUGCAAAAGAACUGGUGACAGCAGAGGGGUUAUGUGGUUUUGUUUCCAUUGCAGAUACUUUAUUAAGUGGGCAUCUGGCGCCACAGCAGCACACGUGCUUCCUGAGACCUGGAGGUAAUGUACUUCUGCUGCGUGGUUUCCUGAUCUGUCCUAACUCGGGUCAGGCAGUAGGUGUGCUCUAACCUGUUCAGUGGGGCUUCUGUGAUAAACUGGUUUAAAGCCUGUUCUCUCCUCUAAAACUUUCAUUAAUACAAGUCAUAUUUUGUUGCCACAUGUGCAACAGAGAUGGCAGCUCCCAUUUAGGCUGCUACGGGAACCACAUCCAUAUGCUACACAGACUCUGUCAUGCUCUAGCGACAUACCAAUAGCAAUAGGCGGAAACCUGAGGACAACAUCAGCAAAAGCUGAGAACUCUGUAUUCCCAUGGCAGAGCAACGUUGUCAGUUGCGGGCUGGAAAUGUUUUGCUCAUGAAAAUUUCUAGCAAGGUGUGGAGCGCAGAAUGAAUUAACCUGCUUUCUUCUUUGACCUGUUUUUUAGACUGGCUCUUUCUGGCUGUUCCUAGUACUCCUAUGCCCGUAUCAGUGGCAGGAAUGCAAUGUCACCAUUGAUACAAGCCUGGUGUAAAAGUUUGUAAUUACAAGCCAUUUUGUGAGCAAUAUGAUGGGUGAAAAAACGACCUCCAGUGGUCUGGUGAUCCCCACCCUCUUGCACUUCAAAGCAGGCAUAUGUUAAAUCGCUGCAUACAUAAAUUUGCUGCGUCAUUUUUGUACUGCUGUAACAUCAUUGGAAGCAUGCGUCAUUUCAGCAUAUUAUCAAUACUAGUACAGCUGUGAGCAUCAAAAGAGAGUAAAGAGAGUCUUCGUGCCUGCCUUUGGGGUUGAGGGGUGGAGAUUAGAUUGUCCGUGUAUUAUGUUUUGACAGUAGCUUCUCUCCUGGUAUUCACGUAAAUAGUUAUUUUUAGGAACAUCAUAUAUUUCCCUGUAAUUGUUUUAAAUGCAUCAAAGAGCUCACUGAUACAAAGCCUGUGAUUUAUGGGUUCCCGCUACUUUUUAAUAGCUGAAUUUAAAUCCUGGAUUCACUGAAGCCAUUUGGAAAAUUGGGAUUAUUCCAAGCUGGAGCAAAGGGAGGGAGACUGGUGUUUUGCCAAGAUCAGCAGUGAUUCAUUCCUACAUUCAUGCUCAGCAUCCAGUGAAGGGCAGAAGCUGGGAAUGCUGUAAGGAGAGCUAGCAAGAGAUUAUCGUGUUGAAGGUGAAUCUGCCCUACUCACUCCCUCUGCUGCUAGAUAAGGUCUUUUGAAUGAGAAGGACCAAAUUCUGUCAUGGUUUUUCUUUCAUCCUCUCCAAAAGCUGAUUUAUUCAUAGAAGCCCCAAGCCAACUAACUUGCCUCCUGUCUGUAAGGCAGAGACAGAACGGAGUGCUUGCUGUCCUGAAGAAUGUCCCCAUAGGGGUGAAGGACUGGAGGAGCACCUUAGGAUAAAAUAUACUUUGGAAAUCCCUCACAAAGAGAUGUUUUAGUGACUGCUUGGAAUGAAGCAAUGCCCCUAUCAGGUUAGCCCAGCAGUCUCUGGCAGUGUGAGCAGGAGCCCUGAGGGGACCUGUAAAGGGACAGGGUGGACCCAGGACUCACUGCUGGCACAUUCUGUCACGCUCCAGUGAUAUUUGGCCCCUGGACACCCUGAGUGAGAGGCGAUCAGAGAAGAAACUAGGUUGGUGAUAGUAUAAUUAAAAUUAGGGGGUAAAUCUUGAAGUAAUACAAAAAGUGGAAACUUGCUGUGGUGUAAGAUUUACUAGGUUUUGUUUAGCCUGAGGAUGUUUAUGCUCUCAGUGCCUGCACCAGGGUUCAGAUUCCAUCUCCUAGGGCAUACAGCUAGACAAAUAGUCAUUAAUACAUGGGUGUGAGGAAUGAAAGGGGCUGUUGGUCCAUCCAGGAGCCUGUCCUUGCUCUUUCCCUCCCUUGUCUGCGCAGCUUUCAGGGGCUGUGCUCCUGCUGCGUGUCCAGUAGCCAUAGCUGUGCUUAUGGGGAGAGCGAGGCUUUUACAGCAGCGCAGCUGAAAUACUUCUCAGUUGUGAGCCCCUUGGGAACUGUCUUUCCUCAGAGAGAUCUGUCCUCCUUGUCCUCAGGCCAGCUGACAGUGGAGUAAAAUUUCUCAUCGUGUUUUAGUUCUCCUAGCCCUGGGAGAGAAGCUCGGGGAGAUGGUAGUGUUAAUGGAGCCAAGUAUCCCAGCAUGGUUCAGUCCCAGCAAAAAGGAAAGGACUUCUUUUUUUUUUCCUCUCCUGCAGAGCAGGGGCACAGCCAAAAGAAGUGUUUUCUUCUUUUCCUGAUGUGAUCAUCCCGGUUGUGUAUGUUUGAAAUACAGUAAUUCUGAGAGCACUGCUGUCGUGAUCAGGAGGCAAAAAUAAGCACAUUUAUAUUUGUGGAUAAGAGGCAGUAAUAAACCCCUGAAUUUCCAAAGACAUAAAGGAGCAUUGACAUCUAAAUACCAGAAAUUCUAAGCCCUUACCUUGCUAAUUCAUGUGGCAUUUGGAGGGGCUGUGGAUUUUUAUUUCAUCCUGGUAUUUGAGGUAUUUCCUGCUAUUAGUAUAGGAAAACCCUUGUGUGGUAAAUGCUGGCUUUUUCCUCCGUUGGUAGCCACUGAGACUUGGGUUCAUGAAAGGCAAACCAUCCUUGUCAAUACUGAAGGAUCUCAGAGGUACCUGGGAAGGAGAAAUCUCACUGGGGUUGAAUAAGGGUGUUGGUACUGUGAGUGGCUGCUAGCUGAAUGGCUGUGAGCAACAUGAAAUCUUGUCUCGAGGUCCAGGAGUCAGGGGCUUAAAGUUCGUUGAGUGGUUUCAAAAGCUAUAGUUUGUAAAAACUGUUGAUAGUCAUUUUAUCGCAGCCUCUUAAAAGUGAUCUGCUUAUAAAGGUUUCAGGUACAAGCGUUGGCCCGGGUCAGUAACCCAGGCCUUCAGAAAUUGCUGGUUUUAUUGCAGAUUAAGCUGUAGAUUGGGCCAUUUAGAUCUGUAAUGGAAAAAUAUUAGCCAACGUACUUUCCUCCCCUCCACCCUCUAUCAUCAGGGCAUAUAUCAAAUUGCACUAUCUGGCAGGGAGUUCCAAAUGUUAUUUGAGAAGAGAGAGGAAUGCAAGCGAUGUCAGCAGAAAACAGCUGAGUAGCGGUUAAAUUUCUUUGGCCUGAACCUGCUCCACAGGGAAAAAGAAACGCAACAACUGGACCUGUUUCAUUUCACCCCAGCACAAACCAUCCUUUGGAAACAGAUGAUGUUUGUGAGCAACUUCUCUACAGAAGCUGGAGUUUUGGGAUGCGGCUAGGUGGACAAAUCCUGCUCUGCUGUGGACGUGGCAGGUUGAGCUCCACAGGGCCAGCACUGGCUACGGUCCCUCAGGGAAAGCACCGGCCCUUGCGGGGCACCGGCUAUUACUGUUCCUUUGUCCAGCUGGAGCCUGUUACUUUAGAGGGGCAGCUUUAGGUUGCAUCUCCAUGGCCUGUUAAAACUUUUUAUCUAUGCUGGCUUCAAAGAUAAAAGCUUUUAAGAGCUGGCUCAAGUGAACUUGCCCGAUGCUGCGAAAGAGCAGUGGAGGUGCGUGCAAGGAGACUGUUAGCUGAGAAGUUGGACUGAGUUAAAUGGUACCCUUAAUCCCCUCGAUACUGGCAGAGUCAAGUUAAAAGGUCUUCCCCACUUGGGGUGAAGGCUUUGCACGUGUAGGUGCUGGUUCACUUCAGGGCAACGCUGUCUCCACGGUGGAAGAGCCCUCUACCCUGCUGGCAUUUGCUUUACUGCUGAGGGGAGAAGUCCCUUCCGCAGUGUCUCGUGUCAAAGGCUGGGGAUGUGUGUUGAAUUUUUGGUCCGUGGAGGCUUUUUAAAUAAACAACAAUGGAGCCAGCAAAUGGCUAGAAGCAGAAUAGCUGAACAGGAGGAGAAAACAAAAGUAAAUACAGCCCUUGGUUCUUUUCUACCAGUCAGUCUACAGUGUUAUCUGACUUCUUUGUCUUGCACUCCCUGUUUUAGCUGGAUUCUGCCUGGUUAGUCACAUAGCAAAGAUCCACAUUUUUCUUCUGAUGCUCACAGCUGUUGCAAGCAACAGGAGGUUGCAGUCCCCUGACAUGGUCCUUCUGGGGAUCUUUCUUGUCUGACUGGCGUUUAGGGUCCCUUCCCUUGCUGUCGUCUUCAGUUUGCCCCAUUUCCUGCCUCUGGAUGCUCUGAUGGAACAGCGUGGUGGUCUCUAGGAUGAAAACCCAGGUGAGCAAGGGAACAGGAGACAGCUUUUCUCCGAUUCCUUCCCAGCUCUGUUACAGCUCCCAGAGAGAGAUUUUCAGCAACAGCUACCCAGCAGUCCUACUUAGAUACCAGAGUCUGUUGUUUUGGUUUUUUUAAACUUGUUCCGGAUCUUUAGGGUUGUCUCUAGUGUAAACCUGUGUCUGUGCUUCACAAAUGUUUCCUACUGAAAUAUUUUCCAGGUGUGGUGCCCAAAAUGCAUCAGGUACCUUGGCCUAAUUCCCAUUGACUUCAGUAGGAGUUAGGCAGCUGUCAUUGCAGAAAGUGUGGACAGGUGUUAAGGGCAGGUUUGGGAGAUUUUGUAACUCCAUGCAAGAGGAGCAAAACAGACCGAAGGAAGCCAUGGUUUCUGUGAUUCUAAUUCUAUUGCAGUCAGAGGAAGUUCCUCCAUUAAUUUUAAUAAAAAGAGAAAUAAAGUACAAAUUGGGAAAUCAGAGGGAAGUCAGAGAAUUUGCCAACGAGUUUACUUUUCUUAAGGGUAUGGAAUAAUUUUCAUAAACCAAGGGAAUAUUCCUGAUUGUUGAGAUCUUCAUUCUACAUUAGAAAUAGUGUGGCUAAGUAUUUUUGUAUGUGAAAUUAAAUUCUUCAAAAAAACCUGUUUGAAUAAUUUUUCACAAGCAACUGCAGGAAUAAUUCUGACAUACUGGAAUGAUAUAGUCAAGAUCCUAAACUAAAUCCUACUUAGUACUCUGAAUCUUUUGUGUUUGAAUGUAUUUCCUCUCUUCCUCAACCCCGUUGCUGGUGCACCGGUUAUAUUGCCUAGUACGGCCUUCUGAAACAGACACAUUUUUAUUUGCAUGCAAAUUGGUAGGAGGCAGCUUGCCUCUAAAUACUGUGCUAAUCAUUACAGGUUCCUUGGUUCAUCAGGACUCUGAUGCCUAAUUGGCUGCAGGAUUGCCUGUAACUCUCGACAGCCUGAUUCCGAGCAAUAGGAAUUGUUGAAUCUACAUAAUAAAGCAAGUGUGAUGAAAGAUCGCAUGCUGAAGGCUUCUGAAAAGUGCCUCUGUCUCAGCCACAAGCUAGUAGCAGAGACGACCUUACAGCUUGCAUUAGUCAGAUGUGCUGAAGAAGAAAUAUUUGCUGGCUUUGCCUGGAAGCUCGCAGCUGGGCUACAGGAUGUAAAGCAAAGCAUCUUUUCACUGUUUCCUGUUGAACAUGAGCGGAGUACGCUGACACUGGCAAAAGUAAUUUGACCUACGGGAACAUGCCUUGUGAGGCAACACAGCGCUAGCGAAAGCUUCACCUCAGGCAUCCCGACAGCCUGGCUUAUGUGUUGUGGCGAUGCCGGCUGUACAAGCUGACAGGAUUUGUUCUCCCGAGAGAUACGAGGCUCCCCAGUUAGAGAGCGAGAUGUAAAAGGGAAGAAGCUGGAGAUAAUGGAAAACUAAAGCGAGAAGCAAAGGUGAAGCCAAGGCAAGUGCAGCCUGAGCGGCUGGCGUUUCUGCAGGGGAUCCCUGCCGCAGGGGGAGGGGAGAAUCCCCUGGUGCAUGGGCUGGAUGCCGAACAGUGGUUCAGCUCCUGCA
Falco peregrinus (peregrine falcon) is the source of this 6697-nucleotide long non-coding RNA. RefSeq lists it as uncharacterized. NCBI's taxonomy places the organism in Eukaryota, Metazoa, Chordata, Aves, Falconiformes, Falconidae. The transcript is spliced from 5 exons. The record is from RefSeq and is a predicted model, not a curated record.